Molecule: long non-coding RNA, 2712 nt
Filed under: Capsicum annuum
Lineage: Eukaryota; Viridiplantae; Streptophyta; Magnoliopsida; Solanales; Solanaceae
Description: long non-coding RNA (CANN_LNC008706)
Source: RNAcentral
AAAUUUAAGAGGAAAAUGGAUUUUUGCUUUUGUAAAAGAAAAAGAUUAUAAAAAUAUUUUUUAUUAAUAAUUAUUAUUAUAAAAAAGUCAACUUUAUUAUAAAUAAUACCUUUGGAAACAAAUGUCAAAGAGUCUCGAAUUAAAAUGUAUGGCCAAUUUUGAAAUGUUAAUUUUCAAAACAAAUUAGUCUCUUGGGUUUGGAGAAAAUUUAAUCCAAAUAGACUAUUAGUUAUAUGAACAUAACAAAUGUCAUUUUGGAAUAAAAUACUUAAUCUUUACAAGACUUGUUUUAAGGAGAAAAUCGAAGGAACCAAUAUAAUCUGCUUUAGACAAUUAAAUUAGGUGAAAAAAAUUAUGAAUUAAGUAAAAUAAAACUAAGAUAAAAUAAAUUGACAACAUCUUAGGAAAUUUACUUAGAUUAAUUGAUUAAAAUGUUAGUUAAUACAAAUAAACAAGUAUAAAUAAUAUAAAUACCAACCUUUUAAAAGUAAUUACACCCUCUCCCAUUUUUUAAUUACUUUACUCUCUCUCCAUAUUAAUAUACAUAACAAAACCGACAUAUGCAUAAAAUUCUGUGUAUAUGUGGAAUUUUUGUAAUAUGUUUAGAAAGUUGAGAUUUUUUGUAAUAUUUGAAAACAUAAGUUGCGUAUUUGUGUAACUUUUAGUAAGAAUUGAAGUUGGCCCUUGAUUGACCCAUCAAUAAAGCUGACCAGCUUUUGGGUUUUGAAUUAUGGACUUUGGGUCCACUUUCUGCAGUGUAUACUUUGUGUAUAUCAUCCCUACUUUUUCUGCGUUUUUCAAUAUAGACGUUGUAUAACAGAGUAUAAAACCCUGUAUACUUGCUCCCAGCUUCAUCAUGCAUCAUAUCUGGAUGUAUAUCAACCACCUUUUACCAGUAAAGCCCCCCUAUAUAUGGCAUAUAAGGGUGUAUACCAGAAGCUGUCCAUGGUAUAUUAAUCCAUUUUGUGGACUUGGUAUGGGUCUUGACUCGAUGCAAGUUGGGUUUGAUCCAGCGGAAUGCGAGAAAUGGGAGUCCGAGGGACUCGACGGAAGAGUUCAUGCAUAUAAAAGGGGUAAAGAUUAGUAUAUGAGAGAAUUACUCAAUUAAGAAUUUAAACGUGAUUAAAGGAUUCAAGCAAAAUUAUACACUCCAGACAUGACAACGAAAUAUCUAUAACAGUAAGGAUGAACUUUCAAAUCCAUUAGUGUCUCAAAGUGAUUAACUUACACAAAUGACAACAUUCAGAAUAGGAGGCAUUUUGGUUAUUUAUUAUUAAAAACAAAACAAAGAAUUCUACUCUACCUGUGUCAAUUCACAUGGGAAAAACUGAGGACCAAACAAGAUAUAGAUAGUAACGUUUUGCAUCUAUAAAGGCUACAACCCAUAACGGGUAAUACAACUCCAAAAUAUUGCAGCUCCUUCGACAUCAAAAUGAAGACCAAUUAUACAUCCACACUUUAUAGUCUAAAACAGAAUUUUUGAAACGGAAAUAGGCUAGCAUGAACCCCUUUUUUUUGGCUGCUCGUAUACAGGAAAGACAACCAUGUUGUUCACAACUUCAGCUCAUUUUAAAAAGCAAAUUCUUGUUCUUGCACAUGAAAAGUUUGAAGGAAAAAACAAGAGAAAAAGAUUGUUUAAAGAACAUUGGCCAAAGCUUCCGAAUACUGAAAAGAGCUUCAAUUUUGGAACCUUUUAUAAGUAUGAAAACGGUAAAACAAAAGCUUAAAAGCUUAGGAUGACAACCAACCAUGGCACAAAGCCACAAACCCGUUAAAAGCUUCACGCUUUUCAACACAUAUCAAAGAUGAAUUAUACUCUAAAUCCCAAAACAAACCAAACACGCAUAUUUUAAUACAAACCCAAAGCAAUAUAACAAGUCGUAUAACUUGUUACGCCCAGCAAAGAAUCGAAAUAACAACAAAGUAUUUGAUUUACGAUUAUAACUUCCAAAUAAAUUUUAAAAAAAAAAAGAGAGAAAGGUAGAGUAAAGAUGAUGAAUUUCGUACCGAUUUUGAAGCAGCAAAUUGGGAAUACGAGCUUAUCACGACGGGUUUUUACCACCAAAAAUCGACUUGGAUUUACCCAUGCUUGAAUCGGUCUUGCGGAAAUUCAGACUAUUUCAACAGAUUUAAGUGAAUUUUCACCCGUGAACUUCUUGAUUACGUGAAAUUAGAGAAAUGCUCCUCCAAAAUCCUUAAUUUUCUCCCCAAAAAGUUCCUCCUUCUUUCUCUCUACAUAGAUAGAUAUUUAUAGUGAAUUUUGAGGUUGUUUUAGAGAGAAAGAGGAGGGGUAAAGAAAGAAAAAUUAGUUGAGAUUUAAACUUCAAAAUUGAGAUAAGAUCUGAUCUGAAAUUGUAUGAAAUUCGGACGUUUGUUGUUGAUCUAUUUUUUGUCGUCCUUGGCUAUUUCUGUUAAGAGCAACUAUUGUUGUUGUCGCGUUAUUAAUGUUGUUGUCGUUUGCUGGUGUUGAAACGGGAUUGCGUUUGUACGCAGUUUCGAACAGCUUGUGCGCGUAUGUUAUUGUCGGUGUAUUGUUGUUGUCGUUAGCUGAUGAGUAAAGGGAUUAAGAGAAUAUGCAUGGGUUGAGUUUAGGCUGGAUGUUGGGCCUGGGGUUAUUGGGUUGUUCUUGUUGUUGGUGGGUCACUGAAAUGGGUUGGUUAAGGGUGUUAUGGGCUGGUGAUUAAUUAACUAGGAGGGAGGAUGGGUAUUUUU